This 472-nucleotide ribosomal RNA is filed under the name uncultured bacterium. RNAcentral's name for it is "bacterial SSU rRNA". It matches the Rfam family "Bacterial small subunit ribosomal RNA", at positions 29 to 479 of the family's 1533-position model. The record is from RNAcentral.
AACGAACGCUGGCGGCAUGCCUAACACAUGCAAGUCGAGCGAGAAAGUGGCUUCGGUCAUGAGUAAAGCGGCGCACGGGUGAGGAACAUGUGAGUAAUCUGCCCUCAAGUUUGGGAUAACCCUUCGAAAGAAGGGCUAAUACCGGAGAGACCACAAGAACAUCAGUUCAAGGGGUUAAAGGCGGGGAUCGUAAGACCUGUCGCUUGAGGAUGAGCUCGCACGCUAUUAGCUAGUUGGUAGGGUAAUGGCCUACCAAGGCGAUGAUGGCUACCUGGUCUGAGAGGAUGAUCAGGCACACUGGAACUGAGACACGGUCCAGACUCCUACGGGAGGCAGCAGUGGGGAAUUUUGCACAAUGGGCGAAAGCCUGAUGCAGCAAUGCCGCGUGGGUGAAGAAGGCUUUCGGGUUGUAAAUCCCUGUCGGCUGGGAAAAAUGACGUCGUUACUAAUAUCAACGACGGAUGAUGGUACC